Molecule: ribosomal RNA, 498 nt
Filed under: uncultured bacterium
Lineage: Bacteria
Description: partial 16S ribosomal RNA
Rfam family: Bacterial small subunit ribosomal RNA
Source: RNAcentral
GACGAACGCUGGCGGCGUGCCUAAUACAUGCAAGUCGAACGAGAGCAACCGGUGCUUGCACUGGUCAAUCUAGUGGCGAACGGGUGAGUAACACGUGGGUAACCUGCCCAUCAGAGGGGGAUAACAUCCGGAAACGGAUGCUAAAACCGCAUAGGUCUUCGAACCGCAUGGUUUGAAGAGGAAAAGAGGCGCAAGCUUCUGCUGAUGGAUGGACCCGCGGUGCAUUAGCUAGUUGGUGAGGUAACGGCUCACCAAGGCCGUGAUGCAUAGCCGACCUGAGAGGGUGAUCGGCCACAUUGGGACUGAGACACGGCCCAAACUCCUACGGGAGGCAGCAGUAGGGAAUCUUCCGUAAUGGACGCAAGUCUGACGGAGCAACGCCGCGUGAGUGAAGAAGGUUUUCGGAUCGUAAAACUCUGUUGUUAGAGAAGAACAAGUGCUAGAGUAACUGUUAGCGCCUUGACGGUAUCUAACCAGAAAGCCACGGCUAACUACGUG